GAUGAACGCUGGCGGCGUGCCUAAUACAUGCAAGUCGAGCGAACAGACGAGGAGCUUGCUCCUCUGACGUUGGCGGCGGACGGGUGAGUAACACGUGGAUAACCUACCUAUAAGACUGGGAUAACUUCGGGAAACCGGAGCUAAUACCGGAUAAUAUAUUGAACCGCAUGGUUCAAUAGUGAAAGACGGUUUUGCUGUCACUUAUAGAUGGAUCCGCGCCGCAUUAGCUAGUUGGUAAGGUAACGGCUUACCAAGGCAACGAUGCGUAGCCGACCUGAGAGGGUGAUCGGCCACACUGGAACUGAGACACGGUCCAGACUCCUACGGGAGGCAGCAGUAGGGAAUCUUCCGCAAUGGGCGAAAGCCUGACGGAGCAACGCCGCGUGAGUGACGAAGGUCUUCGGAUCGUAAAACUCUGUUAUUAGGGAAGAACAAAUGUGUAAGUAACUAUGCACGUCUUGACGGUACCUAAUCAGAAAGCCACGGCUAACUACGUG
RNAcentral lists this ribosomal RNA (497 nucleotides) under uncultured bacterium. RNAcentral describes it as "partial 16S ribosomal RNA". It matches the Rfam family "Bacterial small subunit ribosomal RNA", at positions 28 to 507 of the family's 1533-position model. The record is from RNAcentral.